GGACUCUAUAGUAUAAAAAUAACAUUAAAUUGCAAGUUUAAAGAUGUGUAAGUCACUAGGGUUUAGAAGAUAGAAUUU
Molecule: transfer RNA, 78 nt
Filed under: Grapsus tenuicrustatus
Lineage: Eukaryota; Metazoa; Arthropoda; Malacostraca; Decapoda; Grapsidae
Description: tRNA-Cys
Source: RNAcentral